RNAcentral lists this ribosomal RNA (499 nucleotides) under uncultured bacterium. RNAcentral describes it as "bacterial SSU rRNA". It matches the Rfam family "Bacterial small subunit ribosomal RNA", at positions 32 to 501 of the family's 1533-position model. The record is from RNAcentral.
AAUCAACGCUGGCGGCGUGCCUCAGACAUGCAAGUCGAACGCGAAAUUUCCCUUCGGGGUGAAAGUAGAGUGGCGCACGGGUGAGUAACACGUAGGUAAUUUGCCUUUGGGUGGGGAAUAACUCAGGGAAACUUGAGCUAAUACCGCAUAAUGCAGCGGCUCGACAUCGAGACAGUUGUUAAAGCGGGGGAUUGGAGCAAUCCGACCUCGCGCCUAAAGAGAAGCCUGCGGCGGAUUAGCUAGUUGGUAAGGUAAUGGCUUACCAAGGCGACGAUCUGUAACCGGCCUGAGAGGGCGGUCGGUCACACUGACACUGACAUACGGGUCAGACUCCUACGGGAGGCAGCAGUCGGGAAUUUUGGGCAAUGGGCGCAAGCCUGACCCAGCAACGCCGCGUGAAGGAUGAAAUUUUUCGGAAUGUAAACUUCGCAAGAACAGGAAGAAUAAGUGUGGGACAAUACCCACAUGAUGACGGUACUGUUUGUAAGCUCCGGCUAAC